GCUCCCGUAGCUCAGCCGGUCAGAGCAAGACGCUUAUAACGUCGAGGUCGCGGGUUCAAGCCCCGCCGGGAGCU
This 74-nucleotide transfer RNA is filed under the name Actinosynnema sp. ALI-1.44. Its description in RNAcentral is "tRNA-Ile". It matches the Rfam family "tRNA". From Rfam's summary of the family: Transfer RNA (tRNA) molecules are approximately 80 nucleotides in length. Their secondary structure includes four short double-helical elements and three loops (D, anti-codon, and T loops). Lineage: Bacteria; Bacillati; Actinomycetota; Actinomycetes; Pseudonocardiales; Pseudonocardiaceae. The record is from RNAcentral.